Molecule: long non-coding RNA, 881 nt
Filed under: Equus asinus (donkey)
Lineage: Eukaryota; Metazoa; Chordata; Mammalia; Perissodactyla; Equidae
Description: lncRNA (ENSEASG00005031848.1)
Source: RNAcentral
CGGGUGAAUCGCCUCUACAGUCUCAACCUGCUGAGGCCUCAAACCCGUGUCUAGCCACGUUUGGGGACAAAGGACCGCAAAAGAACUCUCUUAUUCUUUUAAGGAAGCCGAAUUGGGAUUGAAAGGAAGAGAAACGAGGCCUGGGCUCGGGGGAAUGGGAUAUGGGGAAAGCAGAACCCCGUGUGCCUGUGUGUGCAUCAUUUGGAGGAAAAGCUUUUGAUGAUAAGGAAAGUGAAGCCUGGAGAAGCUAAAUAACUUCCAUGAAGUUCAUCGUGGGUUAGCAAGAAGACGUAACAAGUAGCAAUGAAUCAAGAAUCUUACGGAGCUGUUGAGAAGAGUAGUGAGAGAGCCAGACACAGGAGGCAGCAGAAGUCAGGAAAUAAUAGAAGCCGAGAGAGAGCGAGAGUGAGGGAGAAGAGAGUGAAGUCAGUCAGUUGUGACAAAGGCAACAGAAGCAAGGAGAGAAGAUUUAGGGCCUGAAAUCCUCGUGUCAGAGAAAGCAACAAAACAACUGCAUUGCGGGAGUGCGUGUUGGUGUAUCCUGCUUUUGAAAGAGGCGGUAGGCGUCCAAGGAACAGUUUCCUGUGCUGCUUUACUUCCUGUGUAUCUUCAUAAGACUUUUCUAAAAAUCCUGUUUUUGUUCUCAACUUGGAAGAGCUCAAUUCAUUCAAGGGCUUUGGCUUCAGAUCUGGGUUUAAUACCCAUUCUGCCACUUAAUUAACUGCAACUUUGGUAGGGUAUUUAAGCUGUGUCUUGGUUUUUCCCAUCUAUAAAAUAAGGAUAAAAAUACUUGCUUCACAGGGGUGUUUUAAAGAUCAAAUGACAUAAUGUAUACCAAGUAUUUAUCCCAUUUAAAUAAUAAAUGAUCAUUGUUUAAAAAA